AUUGAACGCUGGCGGCAUGCCUUACACAUUCAAGUCGAACGGCAGCGGACCUUCGGGUGCCGUGGAGUGGCGACCGGGUGAGUAAUAUAUCGUAACGUGCCUUUCAGUGGGGGAUAACGUAGCGAAAGUUACGCUAAUACCGCAUAUUCUCAGAGGAGGAAAGCAGGGGACCUGCGGGCCUUGCGCGGAUAGAGCGGCCGACAUCCGGUUGGCUAGUUGGUGGGGUAAAGGCCUACCAAGGCGACGAUCGGUAGGGGGUCUGAGAGGAUGAUCCGCCACACUGGGACUGAGACACGGCCCAGACUCCUACGGGAGGCAGCAGUGGGGAAUUUUGGACAAUGGGCGAGAGCCUGAUCCAGCCAUGCCGCGUGAGUGAAGAAGGCGUUAGGGUUGUAGAGCUCUUUCGGACGGGAAGAAAUCGCACAGGCUAAUAACUUGUGUAGAUGACGGUACCGGACUAAGAAGCACCGGCUAACUACGUGCCAGCCGCCGCAGUAA
Molecule: ribosomal RNA, 498 nt
Filed under: uncultured bacterium
Lineage: Bacteria
Description: partial 16S ribosomal RNA
Rfam family: Bacterial small subunit ribosomal RNA
Source: RNAcentral